UGUAAACCCUAAAAAUUUAGGGAUUUUACAAUUUUUUGUUAAUUAUAUUUAUCUAAUCUGACUCUUGUGAUUUUUGGUGGACAUAAUUGAUUUUGGAAGCAUAGGAAACGAUUGGCUUGCUCUAGGGAGGAAGAUCUAAGGAAAAAGAACUGGAGUAAUCAAUAUGAGAACCCCCAGUCUGCUCAUCAAUCUGGGUUUGAGCAUGAGGAAAAAGGUGAUUUUGCAACCUCACCAAAGCAUUUCAAAGUUGCUUGGGUGAAGCUGAUGACUGUGUGCAUUGCAGGACCACAACAAAAUGGUGCAAUUACAUCUAUUCGUGGACUUUGAAAUAGAAACAAGGUUUGCAUCUUUUAAU
Non-coding RNA from Prunus avium (sweet cherry), 355 nucleotides. The record is from RefSeq and is a predicted model, not a curated record. Lineage: Eukaryota; Viridiplantae; Streptophyta; Magnoliopsida; Rosales; Rosaceae.